GAAUAAUAUGUCAAACACCUGGGAAGAGGAACUCUUUCUCAUGGGUUCAUGGAAGGUUCACUACAAGCACUGAAGAUAUGUUUGAUUACAUCUAUCAAAAGUAUCUAAACAGUUUAGAACCUGUAUUGGCAUAGUUUUCACAUCUAUUUUUUUAAUGUAGCUUGCCAUUAUUAUUUUUACAGCCCACAGUAGUAAUAGUGGACCCCAGUAAAAUCAAAGCCAUGGUCUAGCCAGAAUCACUCCUUACAUGCCACCCGUCCCUGAUGUACUUGGUACAUAACUGGUUGUUCUAGACAAACCCAAUGAAACAAACAUUUCCCUGAGAAUCUGGACUAGAUGAUUACAUAUUUACCUGUGAUUUAUUAUCCUAUAGAAAACUCUGCUUAGAGCCACUGAGGUAAUCUACAUCCAUUGUCUCUAUCUUGUAAAUCAUUACUAGCCAUUGUCCCUGUGAAAGGCUUACCCAAUCCCUUAGCCUACAUCAUUUUCCCUAUAAAGUAUGUACCCCAAAUCAUUAAACUUUGUCACUGAUCAUCAAGAAGUCUCUGUGUGUCUACCUGUCAUUCUGUCAGUUUGACCCUCCUGUAAUCCCAGGAUCAUUUCUCUCAUCCUGGUUCAUCAACCCACAAGUAAUUUGUUGAGCAGAUCUUGACAGAAGGUGUAGUGUGAAUUUUAGAUUUACUCCACCCUGCUUAGUCUAACAAACAGGAAUGUCUACACCCCUACUUAAGGAUUAAAUGUUGAGAAGGAUGGCCUAUGACAGACAUGUGCUAGCAAAUGACAAAUCAGAAACAACUGACAGAUCCCCUGGGCUGUUUUAAGUCAAGUUUAAGCUACCAUUAGUACAUGUGAGACGCAGGAAGUGAUGUUAAAAAAUGGUCUAUAUAUUUUGUGUCACUUCCUCUCUCCGGGCUCUUUUUUCAUGGAGAGGUGGCUCUCGCUUUUCGCGGUGGAGACAUGGCUUGUGGCAGCAUGCUGGGCAUCUUGGCGUCUUCCUUGCCUGCAGCUCUUGUCCAGGUUUGGCUUGUGGCAACGUUUUGACAUCUUGGCAUCUUGGCUGGGUCAGCUGUGUGGGAGGCAGCAAGACUUUGUGCUAGUCCCAAGAGAGGGUGGAAGAGGAGCAAUGAUAACUUUUCUGAUUUUAGCUGAAGGUGUAUUAUGAGAUAGAAACAUCUAGGCAACUUUGUGAGUUUGUGGGAUAUAGAAUUCCCAUUAGAGUACCCUUUGUGGCAGCAGCAAUAGCCAUCAGAGUGAUAGUAGCCAAAAGCAGUGGAAAUGGUAGGAGAGAAAUGCAUAAAGAUAGUCAACCAAGGACAACAGCAGGUUCAAAAAGCAUUAUUCCUUGUACCAGAAAAGAAUUUUGGCUAUGGACUCUAGAAAGGAAUGCAUCCUGAGAACCCAACUGAGUGGCCCAUUCAGCAAAAGCAAAGAAAAAAAGACUUCCAGAACCAGGUGUUGGAAGGUAUUCCAUUAUCAUAUGUGUUCUCUAAAAUCAUCUCACUACCAUUAUAUUUUAAGUUUGAACCUAUUCUUAAGAUGGAACUAUGUAUAUUGUAAAAAUUUGCCCUGUGUGUUUGUUUUUUUUUUUUUGUGAAAUGUUUUGUACUGACCUUUCUUCUAAUGCCACCUUAGUAAAUAGCAUUGCUUUAAAAAACAAAAAGCAAGUCUGGCUGAAUGCUAGUGGGAAGCACACUGGUCUGGGCUCAGGACCAACAAAGUUAGAAAUAUGGCCCUAGAACGCUGAGAGGUACCUAAGAACACCAAACUGGAAAUGUAAGUGUGAAUUGUUAGACUAGCCCAUAGCAGGUGCUACACUUGGAACAACCUAGUUCACUCCAUUUUCCUGAACUCAGUACUCAGAUCAUUGGCUAGAUGAGUAUAAAAACUUAAGACUUUGUGGAUUCUAGAUGUCCAGAAUUAUGUCCUUUGGGAGAUGUGUGAAGGAGGGGAGUAGGGGGUUGUUAGCAAAUAGUAGAAAUUUGUUUUUCCCUCCCCCCCCCCAAGGUUUAAAUUUAUCUGUUUUCCCUAGGGCAGUGUUGGCAAACAUUUUAGAGAUUGUGUGCCCACAUUGCACCUUCAAGCUGCCUGUGAGUCCCUUGUGUUACCCCAGACAAUGGAGGGAGGAAGUGUUCCCAUUGGGCUGCUGAGUGGAGGUGCUAUGG
Molecule: long non-coding RNA, 2162 nt
Filed under: Monodelphis domestica (gray short-tailed opossum)
Lineage: Eukaryota; Metazoa; Chordata; Mammalia; Didelphimorphia; Didelphidae
Description: lncRNA (ENSMODG00000042485.1)
Source: RNAcentral